RNAcentral lists this ribosomal RNA (430 nucleotides) under bacterium. RNAcentral describes it as "partial 16S ribosomal RNA". It matches the Rfam family "Bacterial small subunit ribosomal RNA", at positions 355 to 776 of the family's 1533-position model. The record is from RNAcentral.
UGGGGAAUAUUGGACAAUGGGCGCAAGCCUGAUCCAGCCAUGCCGCGUGUGUGAAGAAGGCCUUUUGGUUGUAAAGCACUUUAAGCGAGGAGGAGGCUACUUGGAUUAAUACUCUAAGAUAGUGGACGUUACUCGCAGAAUAAGCACCGGCUAACUCUGUGCCAGCAGCCGCGGUAAUACAGAGGGUGCGAGCGUUAAUCGGAUUUACUGGGGGUAAAGCGUGCGUAGGCGGCUUCUUAAGUCGGAUGUGAAAUCCCUGAGCUUAACUUAGGAAUUGCAUUCGAUACUGGGAAGCUAGAGUAUGGGAGAGGAUGGUAGAAUUCCAGGUGUAGCGGUGAAAUGCGUAGAGAUCUGGAGGAAUACCGAUGGCGAAGGCAGCCAUCUGGCCUAAUACUGACGCUGAGGUACGAAAGCAUGGGGAGCAAACAGG